Salarias fasciatus (jewelled blenny) is the source of this 689-nucleotide long non-coding RNA. RefSeq lists it as uncharacterized. NCBI's taxonomy places the organism in Eukaryota, Metazoa, Chordata, Actinopteri, Blenniiformes, Blenniidae. The transcript is spliced from 4 exons. The record is from RefSeq and is a predicted model, not a curated record.
UGGAGAUGUAGCCAUCCGGGUGGACAGCCCCAACUCCCCUGCCUGCCGCGGGGAGGACCGGGGCUGGGGACGCGGAGGACAGCCGUGCAACGGCACACGAGGAGAAACACAAGAGGACCCGCUAGAUUAAAAAAAUGGACGGGGCCAGCGGGACGUCACGAUGCGCCGCCGCCACAAAGCUCAGUACGCCACUCAUGAACGCGCUCAUUUGGCUCCCAGCAUGCCGCACGUCCGGAGGGAGCGCUGCUUACCGGGAGCUCAUCCAAACCCGGAGCAACCCACCCUGCCGCAGCCGAGGAGGACAAAAUUUGUACACUCGGCGGAUCCAGAAAUGAAAAUCAAGACUUCAGUCAACUUCAAGGUGUAUCAGAGGUUGUGUGUGUGUUUGUACGUUGCUGCUGAGGAGCCGCGUCCGCAGGCCUGAGGGGUUGUCUGUUAUCUUUGGUUAUCUAGCUGUAUGAGUGACGUACAUUCUUCAUAAAGCUAGAUAACCGAAAGUAACAAGAAUCCCAUUACAUGCCUGCACGGGAAGAAGAAAACAACAGGGGGGAAAAAAGGGAUAAAAGAAGCAGCUGAGAGGAGUGGAGGUGGACAACGGAUGCUGUGAACCAAUGACGUUAAGGUCCCUGCUGUGCCUGCAGUGAAGAAUCACUCGACCUUGGGACUAUGCCUUUAAUUCAGCGUACCUG